Ribosomal RNA from Cyprinus carpio carpio, 119 nucleotides. The record is from Ensembl. Lineage: Eukaryota; Metazoa; Chordata; Actinopteri; Cypriniformes; Cyprinidae.
GCUUACGGCCAUACCACCCUGAGCGCGCCCGAUCUCGUCUGAUCUCGGAAGCUAAGCAGGGUCGGGCCUGGUUAGUACUUGGAUGGGAGACCCCCUGGGAAUACCAGGUGCUGUAAGCU